GAUCUGGUUCAGGACGAACGCUGGCGCGGCGCUAACACAUGCAAGUCGAACGAAGCUAAGAUUGCGGAAGUUUCGGAUGGAGCGAACUUAGCUAGUGGCGAACGGGUGAGUAACACGUGAGUAACCUGCCCUUCAGUGGGGGACAACAGUUGGAAACGACUGCUAAUACCGCAUAAGACCACAGUGCCACAUGGCACAGUGAUCAAAGGAUUAAUUUUCGCUGAAGGAUGGACUCGCGUCUGAUUAGCUAGAUGGUGAGGUAACGGCCCACCAUGGCAACGAUCAGUAGCCGGACUGAGAGGUUGAUCGGCCACAUUGGGACUGAGACACGGCCCAGACUCCUACGGGAGGCAGCAGUGGGGAUAUUGCACAAUGGAGGAAACUCUGAUGCAGCGACGCCGCGUGAGGGAAGAAGGUUUUCGGAUUGUAAACCUCUGUCUUCGGGGACGAAACAAAUGACGGUACUCGAGGAGGAAGCCACGGCUAACUACGUGCCAGCCGCUGC
RNAcentral lists this ribosomal RNA (505 nucleotides) under uncultured bacterium. RNAcentral's name for it is "bacterial SSU rRNA". It matches the Rfam family "Bacterial small subunit ribosomal RNA", at positions 15 to 518 of the family's 1533-position model. The record is from RNAcentral.